Long non-coding RNA from Apis cerana (Asiatic honeybee), 1591 nucleotides. RefSeq lists it as uncharacterized. NCBI's taxonomy places the organism in Eukaryota, Metazoa, Arthropoda, Insecta, Hymenoptera, Apidae. The record is from RefSeq and is a predicted model, not a curated record.
UACUAUAUAGUAUUUGGAAUAAGAAUCGAUUUUCAAUUUUAUGUUAAACAUUAUUUAUAGCUUUUUAUAAAAACUGUUAGUUUUCAAUAUUGUUAAAUAUUUUUUAUUUCUAUUCAUAAUAUCUUAACAUUAUUACAUAUUAUAAAAAAAGAAUAGUUUAAAUGAUGAUCACGUGUGUUUAAGCAUAACAUAACCUUAUAGCACACCGAUGCAGGUCUCUCAGCAGAGAAAAAGGAUAACAAGAAGCUAGAAGGUCCAUAACAGGAAUAACAAGAAAGGGAGAAAGUAGAAGAUGAUAAAAGUGGAGGGAGAGGAAGUCGAUGGAGAAACAGGAUAGAGAGAAUCCGCUAACAGUGGGCGGCUUUCCUCAAGGAACUCACGGUUGAACGAAUACACGGAGAAUUACGUUGCACGCCGGCUGACCAUGACCUCACCGAACGAUCCGCAAAGUAAUACCGAGACGACUCUGACUCCCUGCCACCCGCUGUCGACGUCGUUGUCCUCGUUGUCCCUCCUAUACGGUAACACUUGCAUGUAACCGUCAACAAGCACCAGUGAGCGCCACUGGAGGAGGAACAGCUCAAGUUUUACGCCGAUCCACCUGACGCUUGGACAGGGAACCGCGUUGCUUGUUAUGCCGACUCGGCAUAAGAAUUUCGACGUACGACAUACUGAGUGAAAUAGCGGUCAUUGCCAUCCGGCCAUUAGUACCAUCGAUGGCCAUAUUGAAGAUGAAAAUUUGUGAGAAUAAAGAAGAGAAAGAAAAAAUUGAUUAACUUAAAUUCAUUCCAUUAUACUUUAAUCCUUAGUUUAAAUAUUUAUGUAAUUAUUGAGAGGAUAAUAUGAGUAAUGAUAUAUGAUUUAUGAUUUAUGAGACAGAUUAAUAAUGAUUUUUAAUAUUGAGAAGAUUUAGUGAAUGAGAGCUUUUGUACUAAGAUUUGUGGGGUUUCUUUGUAUUUGGAAAAAUAUUCUGAGAAGAUGACUUCACACUUGUAAGAGAAUAUAAUAAGAAUCUUAUAACUUAUUUUUUUAUUAAAAAAAACAGCUUAUUAUCUAUUAAUAGGAUAUUUUUUGUACGUGUAUUUUUUAAUAUACAUAUUCAUAACACAAUUAUAUUUUUUUUAAUUUCAAAUAACAUAUAAUUUAUGUAUUUUUAUGUAAUUAUUUAUAACUUUUCAAAAAUCAGAUAUUUUCAAGAUACAGUUUACAUUGAACUUUAGCCGUCAAUAUAUUGUGAUUUUGUAAAAUUUUAUUUUACAAAAAAUAAAAAAGCUAGUAUUAAUAUUAAUAUUUAUAAUAUUUUUAGAAUAAUUUUUAUGAAUAUAUUAGAAAAAAAUAUAUUAAAAAUAUUAUUCUAAAAAUUAUUAUUAGAAUAUUAUAUUAAUUUUUUUCAUUAUAUUUAAUCCUUUUCAAUCAUAGUUAAAGUAAUCUAUAAGUAAAUUAACGAUGAGAAAUGAAUUCCAAAGAUCAAUUUAGAUCAAUAAUUUCAGAUUAAAUGGCUAAAUCAGACUCGCGUUCAAGAGAUUGUAAGCAUCAAUUUGUAUGACUGAUUUCACAAGCAGUAAAAUUACACGCACGAAUUAUGCGACUA